Molecule: unclassified non-coding RNA, 1563 nt
Filed under: Leishmania donovani
Lineage: Eukaryota; Euglenozoa; Kinetoplastea; Trypanosomatida; Trypanosomatidae
Description: gene:LdHU3.24.2720(CDS-product:Ubiquitin-conjugat ing_enzyme_putative)
Source: RNAcentral
UGCACCCGCUGCGGUGCAGCACCCCUCUUCAAGCCAGCUGCUUUUCCUUUUCUGUACUCUGUGGGCCUGGUUACGUCACCCGGCGUCCCAGUCCGCGUGUGUGCGCAGAGGGAAGCACAGCACGUGGCAAUUGGGUGCAUCUGUGGUAGCACAGGAGGAAACGGCUGUUACCUCAACCACAAUUGCCUGCAUGCGUGUAUGUUGACACAGAGCCCGUCACCAGCACCACUCCCUCGCUCGCGUUUCGGUUUGGCGCUGCUACAACGUUGACAGAAGCACGCACAAGCUCUCGCCGGUUGAUCUCUAGCUGCGUGCUGCUAUCCAGUUAGCCCUAGCCGCGCCUCCAUCGGGUGUGUCGUCCUCAUCGACUGCAGCGCCAACAAUGGCGUCCUCAUCCUGUUCGCCCUACGGGCACUCCACAUCCACUCGGGACUAUCUCUUCCGGUCCCUCUACCUGCGGCGCGAGAUGCUACUGCUCACCACCCAUGGCAUCGCGUCUGCACUGACCCCUGCAGAGGAAGAUGAGGACGAGAGGCAGCCAAGUGUCGCAAACUCGGUAGGGUCGACAACCAGCCCACUGCGAGACGUGCUGCUUCUGCCGCCGCUCUACUGCUUGGAUGGCCUGUCGCUGACGCCGUCCGCCAACGACGGGCCGGCCUUUGGGGUGGACCCGAUGCUCGCGCCGGACCACGCGUGGAACGGUCUUGUGCAGGUGCGCUCGCCCUCCUCGCCUUGGUACCGUGGCUGCUUCGCCUUCUACGUGUACUUCCCUAGCCGGUAUCCCUUUGAGCCGCCCAUCAUCGAGCUCACUGGGCCGCUGCGGAGCCACCCGCUCGUCCAGGAGCGCUGUUUGCAGCAUCUCGACCAGCUGAGCGGCGCCGGCGAUCACCUCUCCGAGAUUUCGUCGUGUGCCGCACAGCGUGACAGCCCUGCCAAGGACACCUCCACAGCGACGCCCUCGGAAACGGUGAAGCGCGUGUUUGUACCGUUCGAGGAGGUUUACUCCACCAUCGACCCCAUGCGUGUCUCUGUCAUGAUGGUUCUAAUCCGGCACAUGCGGCUCAUCUUCCUCCCUGCCGAAUGGCCCUCCUCGUGGCGAUCACCAUCGAUGGAGACUGAUCGCGACUCCGGCGGGGUGAACCGCGUCCUCGCACGCCGCGAUGUGGAGCGGCGCAGUGUGACGCAGGAGGUGCUGCUGCUGAAGCCGUUCGAGCAGUAUCUUGGCACCGAGGUGAUGCAACACUUCCUCGACGUCUGGAAGGCGAGCGAAGGCGACACGGGCGACGACAUGACGGACACCGUCACCAAGUGCAAUGCAGACUGGUACACUCGUGAAGUCCUUCCGCACCUCUUGCACUCCUAAGCCGCACGCAGAGACGUGCGCCGGUGAUGAUGACAAAAAGAAGCUGAUGUUUUGUUAUUGUUGCGUCCUCUGGCCACCAUCAUGUAGCUGCGCGGCGCUUUUCCUUUAUUUUCGGUGUGUGCGCGUGUACGUAGGCCCUGCUGCGCGUUUGGCCGUCACCAACCCAGGUACGCACGCGCAGCCCUCCGGGGGCGUAAAGG